Molecule: long non-coding RNA, 3577 nt
Filed under: Solanum tuberosum (potato)
Lineage: Eukaryota; Viridiplantae; Streptophyta; Magnoliopsida; Solanales; Solanaceae
Description: long non-coding RNA (STUB_LNC002114)
Source: RNAcentral
UGGAGAGUAUAGGCAAAUACUGGCAAAAAGUAUAAUCGAAAGUUGCGCUAAUGGUCCUUCACAGGUUGGUUGAGAUAGCUUUGUCAAACACUGUAGAACUGUAUCAGCUGCUGCAAGAAAUGAUUGCAAGUUGCGUCUUUCAGAGAAUGGUACAUAAUUGACAAGAAGAGCCAUUGCGUGGAUUCUUAAACGCUGUGAUGGGUCAGAUGAAACCAGCAAAGCUACCUGAUCCCAUGUACCAGAAACAAGCGCAGAUAUAAUCGGCUCGCAUGCAGAAGACUUACUUACUGAUGAGGCUACUUUAUCGCAAAUACUAGAACAUAAUAAAGCAGACCCACUAUGUCCAUCUUGGCUCAUGAGCCUCCCCAAGUGUUUAAGUGCAAUAAAUCGUUGCUCAGGCUCCGGAUGGCAAAGCAUGAAAGAGAACAGAUCAAUCAGAGAACCUUCACAUUCAUGGUAGGUGUGGAUGCCUCUUUCACAUAACUGAGAGAUCCAUUGAUCACUGUGAAGCCUCCAAGCAAUACUUGGGGCACCAUGCAAGAAAUUUUUAACUGCAGAGCAUACAUUGCUAAUUACACUAUGCAAAGAGAAGCGUUGAGGAACAGUGAGUACAGAACCAAGGAUCACAGAAGCAAGCUCCCACAAGUGGUUCUUUUGAAGCAAUAGAAUCAUUUCUGCAAGUCCUUCAAGACUGAUUUUCCAAAAAUCAGUGAAAUCUGAAAUAGAUUCCAUCUUAAGCAGAAUUCCCUCUUCACUGCCUUCAGAAACUGGAACUUUCUCAGCAACCAAACAUAAGCAUCUUGAGUACACGAAACUUUCUGCAGAAACAAGGGCUAGACUCUCUGCUAAUUUAUGGUGAAUCCUAAAGCAUCGUUCAAUAGUUGGAUUUAGCUUAGAAAUGAGUGCUUCUAGGUCCUUUAAGAAUCUUACAACUUCCACAACUUUGAGAUGAGACUUCUUGUUCACAACAGCAUUAUCAUCCAUGUUUUUUUCAUUCAUCUCAGUUGAGUAGAUAUCCAAAAGGAAAGUUGAGUGCCGUUCAGAUCUAUUAUCACAUGGUGCAGAAUCCAUUUCAGACAACGGAGAUAUAGCAUAGGGAAUGACACCCCAGCCUCUCAAUGUCUCAAGUAGCAAAACUCUGCAAUUUCUUAUUACAGCCUGAUAUGCACAAAGAUAAUCAUGAAAUGAAGUAGUUGGCUCACAAGAAGCAAAAUCAGCACAGGAAAUAGAAGACUGCAAUAGUUCAACUUUGCGUUGCAACGAUAGAUCAGGAAACACCGAUGCCAAAACAAAAAUUGGCAUUGCCCUGCACAAUCCAUCCUCUCUUGGAGUGUUAUGAUUCUCAUCUUUGAUGAUGUCAAAAAGUUCAUCAAAGCAUAAUGAUUCUAAAUUAAGACAUGAAUCAUCACUCACUAAGUUCUCAUUGGCAGAACAUUUUCCCAAAGAAUAUGAGAUAAUUGGCUUUACCAAUUGCAACACUGAACUGAGAAAUGACACAUCACAAUAUGAAGACCUGCACAAGGAAACAAGAACUUGCAUCAAGGUUGGUACUUCUGGUACCAGUGCUUCCAUGUGCUCAGCUACAAUGGCUUCAAGCACAUAAAAGACAAUUGCUUUUGCAUUCUUAGCAACAAAACCUUUUGCAAACCCAGUAGAUCUUCUACAAAAAGGUUGGUUCUCUUCUCGAAAAAAAGGCCAUGAACAAAAAUCAGAAAACCAACACAAUAAAUCUGGUACAAUAGCAGAAGAAAAGGAUCUUAAUUGCAAAGCAACAGCCUCCAAUAUAGAUUCCCCAAAAACUUCAAACUCUUUUUGCAAAUUGGGAAAGAACUGAUUUAUGUCCGGGUAUAUAACAGAAAAAGACUGAUCUCCAUUCUGUGGACUACGACUUUCACCCCCUUUCCUAGAACUUGAAUUGCUACCAGAUUCUUCAAUUUUCUUGUCAUCUUUCUGCUCCAGGUGACCUACUACAGCAAGCUCAUCUGAAAAUAUAGAUAGGAGAUAUGUCAACUGUGAAAGAUCUGAGACAAGGAAGAGUUUCUCCUUCUGAUACUGUUUAGCAUUACGAGAUAUUGCCAUCCAGCCAAGAAAACGGGCAAGAGGGGAAGUUGAAGAUGAGAAUGCAGGUAUUUUCUGCAGCCAAGCAGAAGCAGGAACUAGAUUAGCAAACCGAAAACCACUCCUGUAGUUAAUUGAAAGCUCGGACCCUUCAUCACAACCACUUGAAGCAAUUAUCAAUCUCUUAAGAAGAAUCCAGCGACGUUGAACUGCCUGCAGCUUCCACUCAUUAAACUGGACAGUUCCUUCUUUUAAUUGAUAGUAAAAAGUUCUCAGCUGCUGGUUUAAGUGCUCAGCAGAUUUUAUGAUUGUGUCAACAAUGAGCACAGGAGGACAGUUCAAUCUAGUUCCAGAGUGCAAUAGAAACAGCAGAAUUUGCAAUAGGAUCUCAUGUGUCGGGUGCUCCUCUUUUUGCAGACGAUGAAUUAAAAAAUCACAUAUAAGUGCUUGAUUUUGACGAAGUAAGGUGAUAGCAUCUGCUGAUUUUAUAUCUUGCUGAGAUAAAUCAAGUUUUUCAUCAUUCCCUUCAACAUAGGGAGUCAUACAUUCCUCGUCUGAGUUCUGCUGAUACUUCCUGUCAAGCUCAGCUGCUUCAAGCAUUAUUUCAAGAACAAAUUUGUCUCUUUUCCUCUCAAGAUCAGCUACAAUUUUGAAGUCAUUGUCCUCCUCAAAAAGUUCUCGAAGAACAGAAACUUCAUGGUUUUUACACGGCUUCUUAGUACUCAGUUUGUUCAUAAUAGGUGAACUGUCCCUGGAAGACAGCAUAAAGAACGGAUUAACAUAACACUCUGCUGCUAAAAGCAAAGCAUCUAUAGCAGCAUCAUGACCCUCCGGAGUGAUCUCACACUGAGAAUGCAAGUCCAGAGCUAAACGCCUAAAUUCAGAAGCUUUCAUCUGACAAUCUCGAUAACUUACAAGCUGAAAGUAAUCAUCAUGCAGAUUAGAAUACUCAACAGUAUUAUCAAUAGCAGAUAGCAAGCCAUGUUCAAACUGAUUGUUUGUGGACUGCUCAACAAUGUGAUUAAUUUCCUUCUUGACAUCAGAACUUAAGUCUCUGCACUUUUUCUCCAGGCUCCCAGAGACUAGUGAGAUUCUAUUGAGCUCUGGGGGGGAAAAGAGAAGGUUCACUUCCUCGGGGAUGUCUCCUUUUCCAGUCAUAUCAGAAUCAACUUUUGCAUCAGAAUCCUCAUGACUGCCAGAUCUAGAAGAAGCUCCAGCAUAGCGUAGGACAGAAGAAAGAGGUAAAACAUUCAAUAAUUGUGGUCCUAGCAGCUCAACACUAGGAGAUUGGCGAAGGUCGACAUCAGAAGGAAGCUGCAUGUGAGGUUCCAAAACUGAGAGAAGUACACUGCAUAUUCAUUGAUUCAAGACAAAUUCAGUGCAGUCAAGCAGUAUGCAUAACUUGGGAAAAAGCUUACUAUCAUAUGCAUAUCUUGGGAAAAAGCUUACUAUAAUAUGCACUUAAGCAAUAGUUACCAGACAGAAUUCAGGAUACCAGAUAACUCUUUCACUAUGACAC